AACGAACGCUGGCGGCAGGCUUAACACAUGCAAGUCGGACGCAUGUCUUCGGACAUGAGUGGCAGACGGGUGAGUAACGCGUGGGAAUCGUACCCUUUGGUACGGGAUAGCUCCGGGAAACUGGGAUUAAUACCGUAUGUGCCCUGGACUUAAGGUUUGGGGAAAGAUUGAUCGCCAAGGAGUGAGCCCGCGUCGGAUUAGCUAGUUGGUGGGGU
This 215-nucleotide ribosomal RNA is filed under the name uncultured bacterium. RNAcentral's name for it is "partial 16S ribosomal RNA". It matches the Rfam family "Bacterial small subunit ribosomal RNA", at positions 29 to 258 of the family's 1533-position model. The record is from RNAcentral.